RNAcentral lists this ribosomal RNA (258 nucleotides) under uncultured bacterium. RNAcentral describes it as "partial 16S ribosomal RNA". It matches the Rfam family "Bacterial small subunit ribosomal RNA", at positions 524 to 779 of the family's 1533-position model. The record is from RNAcentral.
UACGAAGGGGGGCUAGCGUUGCUCGGAAUCACUGGGCGUAAAGGGUGCGUAGGCGGGUUUUUAAGUCAGAGGUGAAAUCCUGGAGCUCAACUCCAGAACUGCCUUUGAUACUGAAAGUCUUGAGUAUGGGGAGAGGUGAGUGGAACUGCGAGUGUAGAGGUGAAAUUCGUAGAUAUUCGCAAGAACACCAGUGGCGAAGGCGGCUCACUGGCCCAUAACUGACGCUGAGGCACGAAAGCGUGGGGAGCAAACAGGAUU